Molecule: small RNA, 85 nt
Filed under: Dasypus novemcinctus (nine-banded armadillo)
Lineage: Eukaryota; Metazoa; Chordata; Mammalia; Cingulata; Dasypodidae
Description: Deleted in lymphocytic leukemia 1 conserved region 2 (ENSDNOG00000031546.1)
Source: RNAcentral
CAUGAAGCAUUCCAUAUUUUUAUUUCAUUUGUUUUAUACCGGUAAUUAUAAUGUUAUCUUGGAGGCUAGGAAAGCUGACCAAUAG